This is a long non-coding RNA of Coregonus clupeaformis (lake whitefish), 1190 nucleotides long. RefSeq lists it as uncharacterized. NCBI's taxonomy places the organism in Eukaryota, Metazoa, Chordata, Actinopteri, Salmoniformes, Salmonidae. The record is from RefSeq and is a predicted model, not a curated record. The transcript has 3 exons.
UCUAUUCUUUAUUUCUAUUAUUUUCUCUCUGCAUUGUUGGGAAGGGCCUGUAAGUAUGCAUUUCACUUCUAGUAUACACCUGUUAUAAAUAAAAUGUAAUUUGACAUAGGCUAGUUUGCCUUCUAGAAUGGAGCCAAUGGAAUAGUCCCAAAAGUACAAACUCCCAGCUGAAUCAAGCGCACCUCAAAUACCCUAUUGUUGCAUGGAACGUAAUUCCUUGAGCACUACAGAUACAUCAUAGCAAUAAGUGCUUUUUGCAUUUGAAAAUGUAUUGGAAUACAUUGGCUCCAUUGUUUACUUUUUGUUGAAGGGCCAGGGCCCACUCUCUGUGGGUAUGUUAGCUCUGGUCCAUGUGCAUGCGUCGGAUGCACAUGCAGCCAAAGAUGGUCAAAGGCUUGCCUAAUAAAUCAGACUUUGACACUAAUUAUUGGUAUACAGUCUGAAACAAAGCCCUGCAAAAUCGUGGAAAUUUUCCUUAAUUUUCCUUAAAAUUACAUUGGAAUUUACUCCACCAGUUGUCUGUGCAGUUAGUCCUUCAGCUGCUCGAAAUUUGAGACAAAAUACCACAGGAAAGUAUUGUUUACUCAACAUUUUAGAGUGCCAUACUGAAGUAGACAUUUCUAUCACCUGGCACCUGCACAAAAUCAUGUAAACACACGUUAGUUUUCAUUCAUGGUGUGCAUGUACUUCCGUUGUGCAUGUGCCUAGGGUCAUGAGGAAACAUCUUGAUUGCUUCACACAUAGGCUGCAUUUAGACAUGCAGGCCAAUUCUGAUCUUUAUUCACUAAUUGGUCUUUUGACCAAUCAGAUCUGAUGUGAAAAUAUCUGUGUUUGGGCGAAAUAUCAAUUCGUGGGAAAAAUAUCAGAAUUGGGCUGCCUGUCUAAACACAGCCAUACUCGCGUUUUGACGUUGGUUUAAUAAUACUUUCCUGUGGAUAUUUUGUCUCAAAUUUGGACAAGCUGAAGGACCAACACCAUGGACAGUCUGCAGACUGGCCACCAGCAGUAUUGUUCUUUGGGUACCCUAGUUUGGGUGAAGACCACAUGAAAAGUGGACAACAUCUGCCCAGACACUAGUCUCAGAACAGAGUACCAACCAGCUGUCAUGAACAACGGAGAGCUAUGGUAUGCCAUCGUCAGGCACAUAGCACCGCCAUAUGUAAAGCGCGGAGCGGGAGAGAGCGAGGGAG